This 479-nucleotide ribosomal RNA is filed under the name uncultured organism. Its description in RNAcentral is "partial 16S ribosomal RNA". It matches the Rfam family "Bacterial small subunit ribosomal RNA", at positions 331 to 801 of the family's 1533-position model. The record is from RNAcentral.
GUACACUCCUGCGGGAGGCAGCAGUGGGGAAUUUUGGACAAUGGGCGAAAGCCUGAUACAGCAAUGCCGCGUGAGUGAAGAAGGCCUUCGGGUUGUAAAGCUCUUUUGUCAGGGAAGAAACGGUGAGAGCUACUAUCUCUUGCUAAUGACGGUACCUGAAGAAUAAGCACCGGCUAACUACGUGCCAGCAGCCGCGGUAAUACGUAGGGUGCAAGCGUUAAUCGGAAUUACUGGGCGUAAAGCGUGCGCAGGCGGUUUUGUAAGUCUGAUGUGAAAUCCCCGGGCUCAACCUGGGAAUUGCAUUGGAGACUGCAAGGCUAGAAUCUGGCAGAGGGGGGUAGAAUUCCACGUGUAGCAGUGAAAUGCGUAGAUAUGUGGAGGAACACCGAUGGCGAAGGCAGCCCCCUGGGUCAAGAUUGACGCUCAUGCACGAAAGCGUGGGGAGCAAACAGGAUUAGAAACCCGGGUAGUCCCAUGAU